Mangifera indica (mango) is the source of this 2920-nucleotide RNA transcript. It is a transcript of the gene named transcription factor GTE3, chloroplastic-like, with no coding region annotated. The record is from RefSeq and is a predicted model, not a curated record. The transcript has 6 exons. NCBI's taxonomy places the organism in Eukaryota, Viridiplantae, Streptophyta, Magnoliopsida, Sapindales, Anacardiaceae.
GAAGUUGACGACUGUCUGUCCCUGGCCCUCGCUUUUGUUUCCUUGGCUCUGCUUCGCCUCACUUGUUCACUCUCUCGCUCCUCUCCUCUCCCCAAACGAGGCACCGUUCUUCUCGAUUUUUUAACGAGCCCUAAACCCUAAUUCUUUUAUUCCCCUCAAAAUUCCCCACCUUUCAUCUUAAAUUCUUCACAAUAACCCUUUAAACCCUUACAAAAAAUAAGCCUCUUCCUUCUCCCACUUUUCAAAUUGCCUCCUUUGUUCUGUUUUUAGUUUCGUUUUAUAGUGGAAACGAACCUUUUUUGCAAAGUAAACAAACUCUUUUACUUAUAUCGUAACCCAGUUUGAUUUUUAGUGUUUUUUAGGUGAACUUGUUUUCUUUUUCAACGAUUUUUUCUUUUUCAUCUCAGCAACACCAGAGGAAGCAUCCUAAUUUUAAGAGCAAUUUCAGUUUAUGGCAUUUGGGGUUUGUUGUUAAAAAGAAUUAGGGUUUUUGUUUGACGAUCACAUAGAUGGCAGAUUGUUGUAUUUCUGAAAUUUGGUUUUUGUCUCACUCCAAAAGCUGAAAGAUUUUUUCUUGGGUUUGUGUAAAGUUAGGGGUUUUGUUUGAUAAUUACAUGAAUGGCUUCAGGUCCAUUACUUGGUGAUGCUGGAGAGAAGCAGAAGAAGAAAUUGUAUAACAGAAAGAACCAAAACGUUUCCGAUAAUCCCAACAAUGUCCCUCAAUACUAUCAACAACACAAGCGCCAGAAAUCUUCACAACAACACCUAGCCACCACUAUUGAUGACAACUCCUCGCAGCCUCAGACUAUUCCUGCAGUAUCAGAAGAUUCCUCAAGCCACAACCUUGAGCAACCGGGUGUUGCCCUAAACAGCCGUGAACCCAGCAAUGCUAUUGGAGUACCAGGUUAUGUUAAGUUUGAUAACUUUGUACGGAUUAAUUUAAAUUUAAGAAAUAGGGAUGAGGUUAGAGCACUUAAAAGAAAGCUUUCAAGCGAACUUGAUCAAGUGUUGAGUCUGGUUAAGAGGCUUGAAACUACACAGAGCCAGUUAAGUAAACAUGUAAAUAGAAAUUCAAUGAGAAAGAGUUCUGAGAUGGGUUCUGUAGAACCUGCAAAUCCACGGUCUUUCCGGGGAUCAACUGUAUCUGUGAGUGAGAAUGAGAAUAAUCCUGGAGUUAAUGGUGAAAUGGUAGACAAAAUGAAAAAGGCACCAAAAGUUAAUCAGAAUAAGAAAAAGUCUGACGCCCUUGUGGUAAGGGAAAAGUCAACCUCAAUGGAGAUUAAGAAGAAGUCUGAUGCUCCUGUGAGAAGGGAAAAGUCAACCCCAAUGGAGAGUAAGAAGUUCAAAUCCUGUGAAACAGGGGGUGGGCUUGUGUUAGAUAAGGGUUUGAGUAGAUUGUUUAAGAAUUGUAGUAAUUUGUUAGAGAAGUUAAUGAAGCAUAAGUUCGGUUGGGUGUUUAAUAAGCCGGUGGAUGUGAAGGGGCUUGGAUUACAUGAUUAUUAUACGAUAGUUAAGCAUCCAAUGGAUUUGGGCACAGUGAAGGUUAGGUUGAGUAAAAAGUUGUACAAAUCACCUAAAGAGUUUGCUGAGGAUGUGAGGCUUACAUUUAACAAUGCCAUCUUGUAUAAUCCAAAGGGUCAGGAUGUGCAUAUAAUGGCUGAGCAAUUGUUAAUGAUAUUUGAAGAGAAGUGGACAAAAAUAGAGGCCGAGUAUAAUUUUAGUGGGAGUUCAGAAAUGGGGAAUGAGUCUGGUUUGCCAACAUCCACUUCAAGGACGACUCCAGUUCCUGGUGCACCAGUACGUACACCAGCUCCUGCUCCUGCUACACCAGUUCAUUUUCCAGUUCCUGCUCCUUCUACACCAGUUCAUAUUCCUGUUCCUGCUCUGUCUCCUCAGCCUACAGAAGCAAGGAAUUUGGAAAGACUGGAGUUGAUGACAAUGCAUGUGGAUCCAAAGACUAAAAUUGCGGAUCAUCAAGCUAAGACACCAGUUCUAAAGAAGCUUAAGGCUAAGGAUCCUGAGCUGAGGGAUAUGACUUAUGAGGAGAAGCAGAGACUAAGUUUGAACCUUCAGGAUUUGCCUUCAGAUAAACUGGACAACGUUGUCCAGAUAAUUAAGAAGAGGAAUCCUGUGCUUUCUCAACAAGAUGAUGAGAUUGAGGUGGACAUUGACAGUUUUGAUCCUGAAACACUUUGGGAACUUGAUAGAUUUGUGAAUAAUUUCAAGAAGAGUUUGAGUGAGAACAAGAGGAAAGCUGAAUUUGCCCUUCAGGAAACUGCAGAAUCUGACCAUAAUAUUCUGGAUACUAAUAUUGAACGAGUCAUUUCAGAGUCAGCAAAGGGAACUGAAGCAGUCGAAAAGAUUGUUUCCACAUCUUUACCUGUUCAAGGAGAAAAGCAGUGUGAUAAUGUGAGUGAAUCAAGUAGUUCAAGCGGCGCUAGCAGUGAAUCUCGAUCAUCCUCAAGUGACUCUGGCAGUAGUAGUUCGUCUGGACAUGAAUCAGAAGCAGAUAAUUAAACUAGGAGGUGAAUGGAUUGACUUGAGGCCAGCUAUCUUCCCCAUCGCUCCUCUUCAGUUGCCAUCACUUUAUAACCUGCAGGAGAUAGGAAGAUGUUAGAUCAAAAUUUGAGCCAUGUUAGUGAGAUGGUUGUUCAUUUUGGUACAUAAUAUGGUGUGGAGGAACCACCCCAAGGCCCAAGGUAAUCUACCAGUGGUUGCAAGCCUUCAAUUACAAAGUUUUUGGAUUUUUGGAGGUUGAAACUGAGCACCAUUAUUUUUGCUGUUAUCAGAAUUAAUUUACCCUUGUGGUUCUUCCUGGUUCUAGUUUGUAGCAUACUGUAGUUAAACUUACCCAAAUUGCCAGUUACAACUGAUGUGAAAUUGCUUUGUCAAGUUAAUUUAUGGUUUCUCUUUUUGUUCA